Molecule: ribosomal RNA, 482 nt
Filed under: uncultured bacterium
Lineage: Bacteria
Description: partial 16S ribosomal RNA
Rfam family: Bacterial small subunit ribosomal RNA
Source: RNAcentral
AUUGAACGCUGGCGGCAUGCUUUACACAUGCAAGUCGAACGGUAACAGCACUUCGGUGGCUGACGAGUGGCGAACGGGUGUGUAAUACAUCGGAACGUGCCUAGUAGUGGGGGAUAACUACUCGAAAGAGUAGCUAAUACCGCAUGAGAUCUAAGGAUGAAAGCAGGGGACCUUCGGGCCUGGCGCUACUAGAGCGGCUGAUGGCAGAUUAGGUAGUUGGUGGGAUAAAAGCUUACCAAGCCGCCGAUCUGUAGCUGGUCUGAGAGGACGACCAGCCACACUGGGACUGAGACACGGCCCAGACCCCUACGGGAGGCAGCAGUGGGGAAUUUUGGACAAUGGGCGCAAGCCUGAUCCAGCAAUGCCGCGUGCAGGAUGAAGGCCUUCGGGUUGUAAACUGCUUUUGUACGGAACGAAAAGCCCUCUUCUAAUACAGGAGGGUCAUGACGGUACCGUAAGAAUAAGCACCGGCUAACUACGUG